UAAACGCUGUGUACUAGAUGUUGCAUAUUCUUCGUGAAUGUGCAGUGUCGGAGCGAAGGUGUUAAGUACACCGCCUGGGAAGUACGGUCGCAAGGCUGAAACUUAAAGGAAUUGGCGGGGGAGCACUACAAGGGGUGCGGCGUGCGGUUUAAUCUAAUUCAACGCAGAAAAUCUCACCAGGAACGACGGCAGAAUGAAAGUCAGGCUGAAGACCUUACUUGACAAGCCGAGAGGUGGUGCAUGGCCGCCGUCAGCUCGUGCCGCAAGGUGUCCUCUUAAGUGAGGUAACGAGCGAGACCUGUGCCUACAAUUACCAUCAACUCUUUUUGGAGGAUUGGGUACAUUGUGGGAACUGCCUUGGAAACAAGGAGGAAGGUGCAGGCUACGGUAGGUCUGUAUGCCCCGAAUUCCCUGGGCUACACGCGCGCAACAAUGGUAGGGACAAUGGGAUACAACUCCGAAAGGAGAAGUUAAUCCUCUAAACCCUAUCUUAGUUCAGAUCGAGGGCUGUAACUCGCCCUCGUGACGAUGGAAUCCCUAGUAAUCGGACGUCAACAUCGUCCGGUGAAUAUGUCCCUGUUCCUUGCACACACCGCCCGUCAAACCAACCGAAUGGGGUUUAGAUGAGAUCUAGCUUUUAGCUAGCUCGAAUCUGAGUUUCGUGAGGCGGGUUAAGUCGUCACAAGGUAGCCGUAGGGGAACCUGCGGCUG
Molecule: ribosomal RNA, 711 nt
Filed under: marine metagenome
Description: bacterial SSU rRNA
Rfam family: Archaeal small subunit ribosomal RNA
Source: RNAcentral